CUGUCCACCUUUUUAACGAGGUGUGGUCCGCCAGCCAGUGGACAUUCACGUCAUUAUUCAGGAGAAAUUCAAACUGAACACACGAUGACACAAUACCCCUUCAGCAGGGAGCCAUGUGGGAGGGGUCAACAGGCAUAACAUUCCCCCUGCUCCCGAACACUCAGUCUGAGCAACUCCUGAUUCACUGACUGCAGUACAACGGUGGACACUUUUUUCUGGAGUCCUAUAUUUUGAUUGAGGAAGCAAAAAAAAAAACGUUUAGUGUUCAAUGAACAUGGCUUCUCUGAAAACUGUGCUCUAUCUGGAAAUCUGUCUGAACGCUUGGAUGAUCACUACUGCAGAGAAGCACUUGGUUCCAAAAGCAGAGAACGUUCGCUGGUUUUCAUUGGACUUUAAGACCAUCCUCACCUGGACUACCAAAGCAAGUCCUGACUACACAUUCUCUGUGCUGUACUCCAGGACAAGCAAAGCCAUACAGUGGAGCGACAAUGCUUGAUACUGCUCGUGUUUACACUGAUGCCUUCACUGACGAUACAGAAUUCCCACUGAGGGGUUCAAUAAAGACGCUCUCAGCAAUGUCAUUGUUUCGGCUGACUUCCUGACUGUUGCUGUUGUUGUCAGCUGCAGUUAAUGCAUGUUGGACUAAACUUAUAAGCUGUGUCUCUGCAGUCGAGGUGUGCAGCCACUGCAUAUGUGAAGAUGAAAGUCAGACGGUGUGAGAAAUGAAACACAAUUCUUCUCCUUAGAGUGCGCUGAGGUUAAAUGCUUCCCUCCAAUUGUUGAAGUCGCUUCUUCCUGCUCGUUGCUGUUGGUUUUACAUGCACAAAUUCUUUGUUGUUGUGUUUUAGUUAGUGUUG
Molecule: long non-coding RNA, 857 nt
Organism: Solea senegalensis (Senegalese sole)
Lineage: Eukaryota; Metazoa; Chordata; Actinopteri; Pleuronectiformes; Soleidae
Exons: 3
Source: RefSeq, a predicted model, not a curated record